AACCACCGCCCGCCAGAGAAGUACAAGCAAAAACCUCGAAACUCCAAGGACUUGGCGGUGCCCCACACCGACCUAGAGGAGCCUGUCCAGUAAUCGAUGACCCACGCUAAACCUAACCCCCCCUCGACAAUCAGCCUAUAUACCGCCGUCGCCAGCCUGCCUAAUGAUAGACCCAAAGCAGGUACAAUAGCCCCCCCCCGCUAAUACGUCAGGUCAAGGUGUAGCUAAUGGGGGGGGCAAAGAUGGGCUACAUUUUCUAAGCACAAGAAAACCACCAUACGUUUUAUGAAAAUAAACCGAAAGGCGGAUUUAGCAGUAAAUAGCGCAAGAAGCGCCCAAUUGAAACCUGCUCUGGGACACGCACAC
This 366-nucleotide ribosomal RNA is filed under the name Ptyodactylus oudrii. RNAcentral describes it as "partial 12S ribosomal RNA". It matches the Rfam family "Bacterial small subunit ribosomal RNA", at positions 860 to 1388 of the family's 1533-position model. Lineage: Eukaryota; Metazoa; Chordata; Lepidosauria; Squamata; Phyllodactylidae. The record is from RNAcentral.